Molecule: ribosomal RNA, 253 nt
Filed under: uncultured bacterium
Lineage: Bacteria
Description: partial 16S ribosomal RNA
Rfam family: Bacterial small subunit ribosomal RNA
Source: RNAcentral
GACGUAGGGCGCAAGCGUUGUCCGGAUUUAUUGGGCGUAAAGAGUUCGUAGGCGGCUUGCCACGUCUGCCGUGAAAACCAGCAGCUUAACUGUUGACUUGCGGUUGAUACGGGUUGGCUGGAGUUCGGUAGAGGAGACUGGAAUUCCUGGUGUAGCGGUGAAAUGCGCAGAUAUCAGGAGGAACACCGGUGGCGAAGGCGGGUCUCUGGGCCGAUACUGACGCUGAGGAGCGAAAGCGUGGGGAGCGAACAGG